UGCGAGUAAAUCCAUCAUAAAUUUGAUUAAUCUAGCGAUGUAUUUCGUGUGACUUAAAUUUUAAACGGAGAAUUCGGUUUAUGGCAAUGAUGAUAACGCGUGUAGGACUGUAUAUAAACAGAUUAUUAUAAAAUAUAGACUUUGUUUCCGUUUCGUGAAGUGAAUUGUCAUCCGACACGAUAUGAACACGCACACUCAUACACGUAAAAGGAAAGUUUGUUUACAACAACGAAUUAAAGGCAUUAAUAAUAAUAAUAAUAAUCGGAGAAUAGAUGCUUGCCCGAGGUGUCGUGCAGUGAUUUCAUCUGCAUCAAAUUUGUAUGUAAAAUGUAAAAUGGCGCUUCUCAUUUUUGUCAAAAUGUACACGAAGAGUGGUUUUCGUUUAGAGAACUUCCAGCGCUUCCCAACACAGUUACUAUGGCAACCGCCGGUCGUUCACCUCUGGGAAGGGAAGGAUUAGAAGUCGAAUCAAUCCUGGAAUAUUCCGAAUCGUAACAGUUCGAACGUUUUCGGAAGAGAAAGAACAAUCUUUCACGUUCGGGUUCCUUUCCGUUUGGAAGGUUAACAGUUGUCCAAUCGAUGCUCUCUACCAGUUAGUCGUGUUGCCACUUGAGAAUCAAUAAAAACGACUGGAAGUAAAACGAAUUAGAUCCUGUUACCCAAACUUGCACUGGCUGCAACCAUCCCUUGUCACAUUUCUCUUCCAUAAUCUGCACAAGUUUCUUUUUUUAUUUUUAUAUUCUUCGAGUUGACUCGACGAAAACUAGCCGAAUUGAUAUCAAAAC
RNAcentral lists this long non-coding RNA (785 nucleotides) under Androctonus crassicauda. Lineage: Eukaryota; Metazoa; Arthropoda; Arachnida; Scorpiones; Buthidae. The record is from RNAcentral.